This 13843-nucleotide long non-coding RNA is filed under the name Lactuca sativa (garden lettuce). RNAcentral's name for it is "long non-coding RNA (LSAT_LNC001440)". Lineage: Eukaryota; Viridiplantae; Streptophyta; Magnoliopsida; Asterales; Asteraceae. The record is from RNAcentral.
UUAUGCUUAUGUUAUUAUGCGCGUAGGUACUUUCCUUGUGAACUCUGUGCCUGCCUUAGUGUUAUUUGACUCGGGUGCGAGUAGGUCCUUUGUGUCCUUAGCCUUUAGUCAGCAUAUCGGCGUUAGUCGUGAGUCGUUGAGUCGACCUUUGAGAGUUUCUAUAGCUGACGAGAAAGUGAUUUGUGCCACGGAGGUUCUUCGGGGAUGUGUACUAGAGAUUUUCGGGGUUGAAUUCCCGAUUGACCUGAUUCCUAUUGCGAUGGGUGAUGUCUGUGUCAUCGUGGGCAUGGACUGGUUGAGCCGAUUCGGCGCUGUCAUCGACUGUGAGCGUCAGUUGGUGACUAUACGAGACCAUAGUGGGGGAGUUCUUUCGGUGUACGGCGAGGGUACCCGUUCGGGAUCAGCUUUUUGUUCGGCCGCUAGGGCGAGGCAGUGUCUACAGCAGGGCUGUAAGGGUUUUGUGGCGUAUGUGAUGGAUACGCGGGAGGUUUCCGAGAGACCGAAGUCAGUUGAGGAGGUCCCUGUGGUGCGUGAGUUUCCAGAUGUUUUCCCCGAGGAGCUGCCGGGAGUACCUCCUGUGAGGCAAGUAGAGUUUGGUAUCGAUCUGGUUCCGGGGGCCGCGCCUAUUGCUAAGGUGCCUUAUCGUCUUGCACCUCCAGAGAUGCAAGAGUUGUCCUCGCAACUCCAGGAGUUGCUGGGGAAGGGAUUCAUUCGGCCGAGCAGCUCGCCAUGGGGAGCACCUAUUCUGUUCGUCAAAAAGAAGGAUGGUUCACACCGGAUGUGCAUUGAUUACCGGGAGUUGAACAAGCUAACGGUCAAGAACCGUUACCCGUUGCCGAGGAUCGAUGAUUUAUUCGAUCAGUUGCAGGGAGCAUCUUGGUUUUCCAAGAUCGAUCUGAGGUCAGGAUACCAUCAGGUGAGAGUACGGGAUGAAGACGUCCAGAAGACAGCGUUUAGGACGCGAUAUGGACAUUAUGAGUUUGUGGUGAUGCCUUUUGGACUCACCAAUGCCCCGGCUGUGUUCAUGGAUCUCAUGAACAGGGUAUGCAGGCCGAUGUUGGAUCGGUCAGUGAUUGUAUUUAUCGACGACAUUCUGGUGUAUUCGAGAUCUAGAGAGCAGCAUGAGGAGCAUUUGAGGGAGGUCCUUGAGGUAUUGAGGUCGGAGAAGCUUUAUGCAAAGUUCUCCAAAUGUGACUUCUGGUUGCGGGAGGUCCAGUUUCUAGGACAUGUGGUUAAUCAGAAAGGGAUAUUGGUCGAUCCGGCCAAGGUUGAGGCGGUGAUGAGUUGGGAGGUGCCGAAGUCACCCUCUGAGAUCAGAAGUUUCCUUGGGUUGGCAGGGUAUUAUCGGAGAUUUAUCAAGGAUUUCUCCAAGAUCGCAGUGCCACUCACCAGAUUGACCCGGAAGGGUGUUACGUUCUCAUGGGGGCCCGAGCAGCAGACCUCCUUUGAGACACUUCGCCAGAGAUUGUGCGAAGCCCCGGUAUUAGCUCUCCCAGAAGGGAUGGAAGAUUUCGUGGUAUAUUGCGACGCAUCGAUUUCGGGAUUGGGUGCAGUGUUGAUGCAGAGGGGUCAUGUGAUAGCUUAUGCGUCGAGGCAGCUGAAGCCUCAUGAGGCGAGAUAUCCCACGCAUGAUUUAGAGUUGGGGGCAGUAGUGUUCGCUCUCAAGAUUUGGCGUCACUACUUGUAUGGGGUUCGAUGUACGAUAUACACGGACCAUAAGAGUUUGAAGUAUUUGAUGGAUCAACCCAACCUAAAUAUGCGUCAGAGGAGGUGGUUGGAUGUGGUCAAGGAUUAUGAUUGUGAGAUCCUGUACCACCCAGGCAAGGCUAAUGUGGUAGCCGAUGCAUUGAGCCGCAGGGCGGAGAGCACUCCAUUGCGAGAUGUAUGCUUGAGACUGACUGUGAUGACUCCAGUAUUGGACGCUAUUCGUGGGGCCCAGGCAGAGGCUGUGCGACCAGAAAUGCAGAAGAAAGAGCGGGUUGUGGGGUUAAUCUCAGAGUUUGUCAAGGAUAGUCGAGGCCUUAUGACGUUUCAGGGUCGGAUUUGGGUACCGUUCGUGGGCGGUACGCGUAUUACGUUGAUGGAAGAGGCUCAUAGAUCGAAAUUCUCGAUCCAUCCCGGUGCUACAAAGAUGUAUUUGGAUUUAAGGAAGGAAUAUUGGUGGCCCUGUAUGAAGAGGGACGUGGCAUGGUUCGUUGAGAGGUGCUUGACCUGCCGUAGGGUUAAGGCUGAGCACCAGAGACCGCAUGGCAAGUUACAGCCAUUGGAGAUCCCCGAGUGGAAGUGGGAACAGAUCACUAUGGAUUUUAUCACCAAAUUGCCGAGGACUGCUAGGGGAGUUGACGCAAUUUGGGUGAUCGUGGAUAGGUUGACAAAGAGUGCACACUUCCUUGCCAUCAGUGAGAGUUCUUCGGCGGAGAAAUUGGCGGAGAUAUACGUGAGAGAGGUGGUAUCUCGGCACGGGGUGCCGAUCUCGAUUGUGUCAGACCGUGAUGUGCGCUUUACUUCCAGAUUCUGGAAGAAAUUCCAUGAGGAGCUGGGUACUAAAUUGCAUUUUAGUACCGCAUACCAUCCCCAGACAGACGGUCAGAGCGAGCGGACAAUUCAGACGCUGGAGGACAUGCUCCGAGCGUGUGUGUUAGACUUCGGGGGUAGUUGGGAUGCGUAUUUACCAUUGGCAGAGUUUUCCUACAACAACAGCCAUCAUUCGAGCAUUGGUAUGCCACCUUUCGAGCUGUUGUAUGGUAGGAGGUGUCGGACCCCCAUUUGCUGGGGAGAGGUGGGACAGAGAGUGAUGGGCAGCACGGAGAUCGUGCUCCAGACGACAGAGCAGAUUCAGCGAGUGAGACAAAGGUUAUUGACUGCCCAGAGCCGACAGAAGAGUUAUGCAGACAGGCGCCGAUCCGAGCUUGAAUUUCAGGUCGGCGACUUCGUUCUCCUGAAGGUCUCUCCUUGGAAAGGAGUGAUUCGAUUCAGGAAGAGGGGCAAGUUGGGGCCCCGGUAUAUUGGGCCAUUUCGUGUGAUUGCAAGGAUAGGUCGGGUAGCCUAUCGGUUGGAGUUGCCAGCGGAGUUGGGUCAGAUCCAUGACACUUUUCAUGUGUCGCAGUUGAGGAAGUGCAUAGCCGAUGAGUCGGCAGUGGUUCCAUUGGAGGAUAUUCAGGUGGAUGCGAGCCUGAAUUACGCGGAGAGACCAGUGGCUAUCAGGGAUCGGAAGAUCAAGGUUCUGAGGAACAAGGAGGUACCUCUGGUGUUGGUUCAAUGGCAACACCGUAAGGGAUCAGAAAUGACUUGGGAACCGGAGCGCGAAAUGCGGGAGCAGCAUCCGGAACUAUUUGCAGAGUGAGACUUCGAGGGCGAAGUCUAAUCCAAGUGGGGGAGAGUUGUAACAGCCCGGAAUCUCAGGUAUUAUUAAAAUUAUGUUUUUGGGGUGAUUUAAGAGGGGACUCGGCGAGUUGGAGCCUAGACUCGCCGAGUAGGAUCGCAGACUUGGUCGCGGGUCCGCGACUGGACUCGACGAGUCCAGAUAUGGACUCGGCGAGUCGACGCUGUUCAGCAGAAACCCUAACCGUUCAGUUUGGAUCGUAUUUAACGCCUCUUAGGCCGUCAUUUUCAGUCUUUUGGUCAAUUGAGAGAAACCCUAAUCGCUGUGGACGCCUAGAGCAAGGGAGAAAGCUUUGGAACUUGGAAGAAUUGGUUAGGCAAGAAGAAGAGGGAUUUGGCUAAAGGAAUAUCAAGGAGGAUUGAGUCCUGAGAUUUGGGGGACACAGAGAGUGCGUUUUCAGGUAAUACUCGGACCAAAUCUGUUAUUUUGAUGUAUUUAUGAAAUUAGGGUUUAUAGAACCCAUUUAGUGAUUUGAUGAAGUAAUGCCUUGUUACCCCACGAUUAUAGUCUUGUAUUAGGACCUUUAGAGGUCCAGAAGGUCCCAUGCAUGUGUACUUCGGGACGAGACCUAUCUCAGGAAGCAGUUACUCGUCUGCAUGGCAUGGACUCGCCGAGUUGUUCUUCAGACUCGGCGAGUAGCUUGAAGAUUUACUGGGACUCGCCGAGUUGUUCAUCAGACUCGGCGAGUGGAGUCGGGGUGGCCCCGCGAUUCUUCCACGAGGACCUCGUCGAGUCAAGAGGGAUACUCGACGAGUAGAAAGGGAAUAUUCAGGAAUUUGUGAGGACGACUAGACUCGCCGAGUCGCCAUGGUACUCGCCGAGUCCAGUCGAGUUGACCGUUGACCGUUGACCAGAGUUGACCUAAGUCUGACUUCUUAGGGAUAGUCACACUUAGAUGAUAUGAGUGUUAAUGAGUUAUGUAAUGUUAUAGGAGGGUUGUAGCUCGUUGGUUUGUGCGCGAGUGAUUUCAGGAGUUGCUAGCUUUCAGCACUUACGAGGUGAGUCUUCUCACUAUACUGUACCCGGAAGGGUUUGACUGUGUGACCGGAAGGUCGGAUAUGAUAUGUGAUAUGUAUGCUAUAUGUGGUAUGUUAUAUGUUAUAUGUGCUAUGUAUGAUGGGCCGGAAGGCGAUAUGAUGUGUGAUGGACCGGAAGGUCGGCGUGGGUAAGGCCGGAAGGUUUACCCAGCAGGGACGGAAGUCCCCUGAGACACAUGGACCGGAAGGUCGGGCCGGAAGGCAAUGUUAUGUGGACCGAAUGGUCCGGGCCGGAAGGCGUAUGUGCGUAAGUUGUAUAUUGGGGAACUCACUAAGCAUUUAUGCUUACAGUUGUUGUGUAUGUAUGUAUUUCAGGUACUAGCGAGGACCGUGGGAAGGCGCCGGCAUGAUCGAUACACACUGAAGAUUGUUUUAUGAUCUUGGGAGUUUGAAUAAUUGUAUUGACCGAAUAAUUAAACUGUUUAUGCCUUGUUUUUAAUGGAAAUAAUUAUGUUUUAAAAAUGAAAAAUUUGUUUGAAAAAUUUGAGUUGUUACAAUUGGUAUCAGAGCCUUGGUUUGAGGGAUUCGGGUGCACCUUCGGGGGUAACUGAACUCAAACCGAGGAUUUGAGGAAACUUUUCAAAUAAAGGCAUAAACUUUUGUAAAUGGUUUUGUGGUAAGCAAGAAAGAAGCAGUGUGUACGAUCAGUCAGCGCCCGAACGGUAAAAGAUCCCCAAAAUACCUUACAAUAUUAUAUGAUAUGAAUUGUUAUGCAUGCUAGAAGACUAGGUAUUCAUGAUAGGACUAGAGUGGCCUGAUUUGUGAUGCCUUAGUCUAGGGAAGUUGCCUAUAUGAGAUGCUUUGCUAGUAUGCGGGUAGAUAGAGCGUAUCAGAAGUAGAGUACUCACUAUCUGGAGUUUGGGGAGGAGGACUUGGGAUGAACAUUGAUGCGGUGUGGUCGGUAGUAUUGGGCCCGUACUACCGAGGACACCGGGUCAGUGGGAGGCCCAAGUAAGAAUCCCUGGAUAUCUGGGACUGAGUAGGGUUGCGUGUCGAGUACGAUUAUACUCGGUAGAAUCUCUGAUAGUUUUAUGUUGUAUUUCAGAGAUAUCAUGGUUAGACCGCGGCACGGGGCGAGUACGAGCGGUGUGAGUGACGAGGAUAUUCGUCAGAUGAUCCACGAGGAGGUGGCGGCGGCGAUCCGGGCUGAGAUCCCGGAGAUGUUUGGGUCUAUCAAGACCACCCUGAUGGAGACGUUCGACGAGCGGUACGCCGCAUUGACUGAGGCUGCAACCGCUGCAGCUACCGCAGCUGUGGCCGCUGCUAGGCCACAGGGGGGUGAUUCAUUGCUGUUCCGAGAGUUCAGCAACACGAAGCCACCAGAGUUCGAUGGGACGCAGGAUCCGAUUGCUGCGAUGAGGUGGAUCGCAGAUAUAGAGGGGUGCUUCUACACUUGUUCAUGCCCGGAGCACCUGAGGGUACGGUUCGCUUUGAACCAGCUCCGUCUGGGAGCAAAGGACUGGUGGAAGUUCGUGACGGCGAACUUCACUUUGGCAGAGACUGCGGCAGUGACAUGGGAGGGGUUCACUACCAUGUUCAGGGAGGAGUACGUUCCCCCGGUGGAGCGGGAACGAUUGGUUCAGGAGUUCUUAACCCUCAAGCAGGGUACUGAUUCGGUGGCGGCGAUCACGCGGAAGUUCCAUGAGAGGGCGAUGUUUUGCCCCGAGCUGGUGGCCACAGAGCAGGCUCGGAUGAGCCGGUACUUGGGUGUUCUGAGGAGGGAGAUCCGGGAGUUUGUGUCAAACUCCACUUACCAUACUUUUACUGAGCUUCAGGCGAAUGCCAGGAAGCGUGAGAUCGAGUUAGAGACUCAGGCCAGGGAGGAGGCCGAGUCUCAGCAGGCAGACCGGCGGCCGGCUCAGUCUCAGCCGGCAGCCAAGCGGAUCAAGUCCGCCGAUUCGAGGACGGGAGGUUCGAAGAACCGCACUUGCGUAAAGUGCGGUAAGGGUCACGAUGGGGCGUGUCGAGCCGGUGCUUGCUACAAGUGUGGCAAGGAGGGACACAUUGCUAGGGAGUGUCCCAAGGGAUUUACGGUUUGCUUUCAUUGCAACCAGACCGGCCAUCGGAAGGCCGAGUGCCCUCAGCUUCGUCAGGGAUCUGCACCUGCUGCCAGGACUACUGAGACUCGACCGGUGAAGGUCGAGGCCCCGAGGGCUCGUGGGAGAGCCUUUCAGCUGACUGCGGAGGAGGUCCGCGCUGCGCCCGAUGUUGUGGCAGGUAUGUUGUAAUUCAUGUAAUUAUUUUAAUGUCGAUAUGUUAUGCUUAUGUUAUUAUGCGCGUAGGUACUUUCCUUGUGAACUCUGUGCCUGCCUUAGUGUUAUUUGACUCGGGUGCGAGUAGGUCCUUUGUGUCCUUAGCCUUUAGUCAGCAGAUCGGCGUUAGUCGUGAGUCGUUGAGUCGACCUUUGAGAGUUUCUAUAGCUGACGAGAAAGUGAUUUGUGCUACGGAGGUUCUUCGGGGAUGUGUACUAGAGAUUUUCGGGGUUGGAUUCCCGAUUGACCUGAUUCCUAUUGCGAUGGGGGAUGUCUGUGUUAUCGUGGGCAUGGACUGGUUGAGCCGAUUCGGCGCUGUCAUCGACUGCGAGCGUCAGUUGGUGACCAUACGAGACCAUAGUGGGGGAGUUCUUUCGGUGUACGGUGAGGGUACCCGUUCAGGAUCAGCUUUUUGUUCGGCCGCUAGGGCGAGGCAGUGUCUACAGCAGGGCUGUAAGGGUUUUGUGGCGUAUGUGAUGGAUACGCGGGAGGUUUCCGAGAGACCGAAGUCAGUUGAGGAGGUCCCUGUGGUGCGUGAGUUUUCAGAUGUUUUUCCCGAGGAACUGCCGGGAGUACCUCCUGUGAGGCAAGUAGAGUUUGGUAUCGAUCUGGUUCCGGGGGCCGCGCCUAUUGCUAAAGUGCCCUAUCGUCUUGCACCUCCAGAGAUGCAAGAGUUGUCCUCGCAACUCCAGGAGUUGCUGGGAAAGGGAUUCAUUCGGCCGAGCAGCUCGCCAUGGGGAGCACCUAUUCUGUUCGUCAAGAAGAAGGAUGGUUCACACCGGAUGUGCAUUGAUUACCGGGAGUUGAACAAGCUAACGGUCAAGAACCGUUACCCGUUGCCGAGGAUCGAUGAUUUAUUCGAUCAGUUGCAGGGAGCAUCUUGGUUUUCCAAGAUCGAUCUGAGGUCAGGAUACCAUCAGGUGAGGGUACGGGAUGAGGACGUCCAGAAGACAGCGUUUAGGACGCGAUAUGGGCAUUAUGAGUUUGUGGUGAUGCCUUUUGGACUCACCAAUGCCCCGGCUGUGUUCAUGGAUCUCAUGAACAGGGUAUGCAGGCCGAUGUUGGAUCGGUCAGUGAUUGUAUUUAUCGACGACAUUCUGGUGUAUUCGAGAUCUAGAGAGCAGCAUGAGGAGCAUUUGAGGGAGGUCCUUGAGGUAUUGAGGUCGGAGAAGCUUUAUGCAAAGUUCUCCAAAUGUGACUUCUGGUUGCGGGAGGUCCAGUUUCUAGGACAUGUGGUUAAUCAGAAAGGGAUAUUGGUCGAUCCGGCCAAGGUUGAGGCGGUGAUGAGUUGGGAGGUGCCGAAGUCACCCUCUGAGAUCAGAAGUUUCCUUGGGUUGGCAGGGUAUUAUCGGAGAUUUAUCAAGGAUUUCUCCAAGAUCGCAGUGCCACUCACCAGAUUGACCCGGAAGGGUGUUACAUUCUCAUGGGGGCCCGAGCAGCAGACCUCCUUUGAGACACUUCGCCAGAGAUUGUGCGAAGCCCCGGUAUUAGCUCUCCCAGAAGGGAUGGAAGAUUUCGUGGUAUAUUGCGACGCAUCGAUUUCGGGAUUGGGUGCAGUGUUGAUGCAGAGGGGUCAUGUGAUAGCUUAUGCGUCGAGGCAGCUGAAGCCUCAUGAGGCGAGAUAUCCCACGCAUGAUUUAGAGUUGGGGGCAGUAGUGUUCGCUCUCAAGAUUUGGCGCCACUACUUGUAUGGGGUUCGAUGUACGAUAUACACGGACCAUAAGAGUUUGAAGUAUUUGAUGGAUCAACCCAACCUAAAUAUGCGUCAGAGGAGGUGGUUGGAUGUGGUCAAGGAUUAUGAUUGUGAGAUCCUGUACCACCCAGGCAAGGCUAAUGUGGUAGCCGAUGCAUUGAGCCGCAGGGCGGAGAGCACUCCAUUGCGAGAUGUAUGCUUGAGACUGACUGUGAUGACUCCAGUAUUGGACGCUAUUCGUGGGGCCCAGGCAGAGGCUGUGCGACCAGAAAUGCAGAAGAAAGAGCGGGUUGUGGGGUUAAUCUCAGAGUUUGUCAAGGAUAGUCGAGGCCUUAUGACGUUUCAGGGUCGGAUUUGGGUACCGUUCGUGGGCGGUACGCGUAUUACGUUGAUGGAAGAGGCUCAUAGAUCGAAAUUCUCGAUCCAUCCCGGUGCUACAAAGAUGUAUUUGGAUUUAAGGAAGGAAUAUUGGUGGCCCUGUAUGAAGAGGGACGUGGCAUGGUUCGUUGAGAGGUGCUUGACCUGCCGUAGGGUUAAGGCUGAGCACCAGAGACCGCAUGGCAAGUUACAGCCAUUGGAGAUCCCCGAGUGGAAGUGGGAACAGAUCACUAUGGAUUUUAUCACCAAAUUGCCGAGGACUGCUAGGGGAGUUGACGCAAUUUGGGUGAUCGUGGAUAGGUUGACAAAGAGUGCACACUUCCUUGCCAUCAGUGAGAGUUCUUCGGCGGAGAAAUUGGCGGAGAUAUACGUGAGAGAGGUGGUAUCUCGGCACGGGGUGCCGAUCUCGAUUGUGUCAGACCGUGAUGUGCGCUUUACUUCCAGAUUCUGGAAGAAAUUCCAUGAGGAGCUGGGUACUAAAUUGCAUUUUAGUACCGCAUACCAUCCCCAGACAGACGGUCAGAGCGAGCGGACAAUUCAGACGCUGGAGGACAUGCUCCGAGCGUGUGUGUUAGACUUCGGGGGUAGUUGGGAUGCGUAUUUACCAUUGGCAGAGUUCUCCUACAACAACAGCCAUCAUUCGAGCAUUGGUAUGCCACCUUUCGAGCUGUUGUAUGGUAGGAGGUGUCGGACCCCCAUUUGCUGGGGAGAGGUGGGACAGAGAGUGAUGGGCAGCACGGAGAUCGUGCUCCAGACGACAGAGCAGAUUCAGCGAGUGAGACAAAGGUUAUUGACUGCCCAGAGCCGACAGAAGAGUUAUGCAGACAGGCGCCGAUCCGAGCUUGAAUUUCAGGUCGGCGACUUCGUUCUCCUGAAGGUCUCUCCUUGGAAAGGAGUGAUUCGAUUCAGGAAGAGGGGCAAGUUGGGGCCCCGGUAUAUUGGGCCAUUUCGUGUGAUUGCAAGGAUAGGUCGGGUAGCCUAUCGGUUGGAGUUGCCAGCGGAGUUGGGUCAGAUCCAUGACACUUUUCAUGUGUCGCAGUUGAGGAAGUGCAUAGCCGAUGAGUCGGCAGUGGUUCCAUUGGAGGAUAUUCAGGUGGAUGCGAGCCUGAAUUACGCGGAGAGACCAGUGGCUAUCAGGGAUCGGAAGAUCAAGGUUCUGAGGAACAAGGAGGUACCUCUGGUGUUGGUUCAAUGGCAACACCGUAAGGGAUCAGAAAUGACUUGGGAACCGGAGCGCGAAAUGCGGGAGCAGCAUCCGGAACUAUUUGCAGAAUGAGACUUCGAGGGCGAAGUCUAAUCCAAGUGGGGGAGAGUUGUAACAGCCCGGAAUCUCAGGUAUUAUUAAAAUUAUGUUUUUGGGGUGAUUUAAGAGGGGACUCGGCGAGUUGGAGCCUAGACUCGCCGAGUAGGAUCGCGGACUUGGUCGCGGGUCCGCGACUGGACUCGACGAGUCCAGAUAUGGACUCGGCGAGUCGACGCUGUUCAGCAGAAACCCUAACCGUUCAGUUUGGAUCGUAUUUAACGCCUCUUAGGCCGUCAUUUUCAGUCUUUUGGUCAAUUGAGAGGAACCCUAAUCGCUGUGGACGCCUAGAGCAAGGGAGAAAGCUUUGGAACUUGGAAGAAUUGGUUAGGCAAGAAGAAGAGGGAUUUGGCUAAAGGAAUAUCAAGGAGGAUUGAGUCCUGAGAUUUGGGGGACACAGAGAGUGCGUUUUCAGGUAAUACUCGGACCAAAUCUGUUAUUUUGAUGUAUUUAUGAAAUUAGGGUUUAUAGAACCCAUUUAGUGAUUUGAUGAAGAAAUGCCUUGUUACCCCACGAUUAUAGUCUUGUAUUAGGACCUUUAGAGGUCCAGAAGGUCCCAUGCAUGUGUACUUCGGGACGAGACCUAUCCCAGGAAGCAGUUACUCGUCUGCAUGGCAUGGACUCGCCGAGUUGUUCUUCAGACUCGGCGAGUAGCUUGAAGAUUUGCUGGGACUCGCCGAGUUGUUCAUCAGACUCGGCGAGUGGAGUCGGGGUGGCCCCGCGAUUCUUCCACGAGGACCUCGUCGAGUCAAGAGGGAUACUCGACGAGUAGAAAGGGAAUAUUCAGGAAUUUGUGAGGACGACUAGACUCGCCGAGUCGCCAUGGUACUCGCCGAGUCCAGUCGAGUUGACCGUUGACCGUUGACCAGAGUUGACCUAAGUCUGACUUCUUAGGGAUAGUCACACUUAGAUGAUAUGAGUGUUAAUGAGUUAUGUAAUGUUAUAGGAGGGUUGUAGCUCGUUGGUUUGUGCGCGAGUGAUUUCAGGAGUUGCUAGCUUUCAGCACUUACGAGGUGAGUCUUCUCACUAUACUGUACCCGGAAGGGUUUGACUGUGUGACCGGAAGGUCGGAUAUGAUAUGUGAUAUGUAUGCUAUAUGUGGUAUGUUAUAUGUUAUAUGUGCUAUGUAUGUUAUGGGCCGGAAGGCGAAUAUGUUAUGGGCCGGAAGGCGAUAUGAUGUGUGAUGGACCGGAAGGUCGGCGUGGGUAAGGCCGGAAGGUUUACCCAGCAGGGACGGAAGUCCCCUGAGACACAUGGACCGGAAGGUCGGGCCUGGAAAGGCGUAUGUGCGUAAGUUGUAUAUUGGGGAACUCACUAAGCAUUUAUGCUUACAGUUGUUGUGCAUGUAUUUCAGGUACUAGCGAGGACCGUGGGAAGGCGCCGGCAUGAUCGAUACACACUGAAGAUUGUUUUAAGAUCUUGGGAGUUUGAAUAAUUGUAUUGACCGAAUAAUUAAACUGUUUAUGUCUUGUUUUUAAUGGAAAUAAUUAUGUUUUAAAAAUGAAAAAUUUGUUUGAAAAAUUUGAGUUGUUACAAUUGGUAUCAGAGCCUUGGUUUGAGGGAUUCGGGUGCACCUUCGGGGGUAACUGAACUCAAACCGAGGAUUUGAGGAAACUUUUCAAAUAAAGGCAUAAACUUUUGUAAAUGGUUUUGUGGUAAGCAAGAAAGAAGCAGUGUGUACGAUCAGUCAGCGCCCGAACGGUAAAGAUCCCCAAAAUACCUUACAAUAUUAUAUGAUAUGAAUUGUUAUGCAUGCUAGAAGACUAGGUAUUCAUGAUAGGACUAGAGUGGCCUGAUUUGUGAUGCCUUAGUCUAGGGAAGUUGCCUAUAUGAGAUGCUUUGCUAGUAUGCGGGUAGAUAGAGCGUAUCAGAAGUAGAGUACUCACUAUCUGGAGUUUGGGGAGGAGGACUUGGGAUGAACAUUGAUGCGGUGUGGUCGGUAGUAUUGGGCCCGUACUACCGAGGACACCGGGUCAGUGGGAGGCCCAAGUAAGAAUCCCUGGAUAUCUGGGACUGAGUAGGGUUGCGUGUCGAGUACGAUUAUACUCGGUAGAAUCUCUGAUAGUUUUAUGUUGUAUUUCAGAGAUAUCAUGGUUAGACCGCGGCACGGGGCAAGUACGAGCGGUGUGAGUGACGAGGAUAUUCGUCAGAUGAUCCACGAGGAGGUGGCGGCGGCGAUCCGGGCUGAGAUCCCGGAGAUGUUUGGGUCUAUCAAGACCACCCUGAUGGAGACGUUCGACGAGCGGUACGCCGCAUUGACUGAGGCUGCAACCGCUGCAGCUACCGCAGCUGUGGCCGCUGCUAGGCCACAGGGGGGUGAUUCAUUGCUGUUCCGAGAGUUCAGCAACACGAAGCCACCAGAGUUCGAUGGGACGCAGGAUCCGAUUGCUGCGAUGAGGUGGAUCGCAGAUAUAGAGGGGUGCUUCUACACUUGUUCAUGCCCGGAGCACCUGAGGGUACGGUUCGCUUUGAACCAGCUCCGUCUGGGAGCAAAGGACUGGUGGAAGUUCGUGACGGCGAACUUCACUUUGGCAGAGACUGCGGCAGUGACAUGGGAGGGGUUCACUACCAUGUUCAGGGAGGAGUACGUUCCCCCGGUGGAGCGGGAACGAUUGGUUCAGGAGUUCUUAACCCUCAAGCAGGGUACUGAUUCGGUGGCGGCGAUCACGCGGAAGUUCCAUGAGAGGGCGAUGUUUUGCCCCGAGCUGGUGGCCACAGAGCAGGCUCGGAUGAGCCGGUACUUGGGUGUUCUGAGGAGGGAGAUCCGGGAGUUUGUGUCAAACUCCACUUACCAUACUUUUACUGAGCUUCAGGCGAAUGCCAGGAAGCGUGAGAUCGAGUUAGAGACUCAGGCCAGGGAGGAGGCCGAGUCUCAGCAGGCAGACCGGCGGCCGGCUCAGUCUCAGCCGGCAGCCAAGCGGAUCAAGUCCGCCGAUUCGAGGACGGGAGGUUCGAAGAACCGCACUUGCGUAAAGUGCGGCAAGGGUCACGAUGGGGCGUGUCGAGCCGGUGCUUGCUACAAGUGUGGCAAGGAGGGACACAUUGCUAGGGAGUGUCCCAAGGGAUUUACGGUUUGCUUUCAUUGCAACCAGACCGGCCAUCGGAAGGCCGAGUGCCCUCAGCUUCGUCAGGGAUCUGCACCUGCUGCCAGGACUACUGAGACUCGACCGGUGAAGGUCGAGGCCCCGAGGGCUCGUGGGAGAGCCUUUCAGCUGACUGCGGAGGAGGUCCGCGCUGCGCCCGAUGUUGUGGCAGGUAUGUUGUAAUUCAUGUAUUUAUUUUAAUGUCGAGAUGUUAUGCUUAUGUUAUUAUAUGCGUAGGUACUUUCCUUGUGAACUCUGUGCCUGCCUUAGUGUUAUUUGACUCGGGUGCUAGUAGGUCCUUUGUGUCCUUAGCCUUUAGUCAGCAUAUCAGCGUUAGUCGUGAGUCGUUGAGUCGACCUUUGAGAGUUUCUAUAGCUGACGAGAAAUCGAUUUAUGCCACGGAGGUUCUUCGAGGAUGUGUGCUAGAGAUUUUCGGGGUUGAAUUCCCGAUUGACCUGAUUCCUAUUGCGAUGGGUGACGUCUGUGUUAUCGUGGGCAUGGACUGGUUGAGCCGAUUCGGCGCUGUCAUCGACUGUGAGCGUCAGUUGGUGACCAUACGAGACCAUAGUGGGGGAGUUCUUUCGGUGUACGGUGAGGGUACCCGUUCAGGAUCAGCUUUUUGUUCGGCCGCUAGGGCGAGGCAGUGUCUACAGCAGGGCUGUAAGGGUUUUGUGGCGUAUGUGAUGGAUACGCGGGAGGUUUCCGAGAGACCGAAAUC